GAUGAACGCUGGCGGCGUGCCUAAUACAUGCAAGUCGAGCGAACGGACGAGAAGCUUGCUUCUCUGAUGUUAGCGGCGGACGGGUGAGUAACACGUGGAUAACCUACCUAUAAGACUGGGAUAACUUCGGGAAACCGGAUCUAAUACCGGAUAAUAUUUUGAACCGCAUGGUUCAAAAGUGAAAGACGGUCUUGCUGUCACUUAUAGAUGGAUCCGCGCUGCAUUAGCUAGUUGGUAAGGUAACGGCUUACCAAGGCAACGAUGCAUAGCCGACCUGAGAGGGUGAUCGGCCACACUGGAACUGAGACACGGUCCAGACUCCUACGGGAGGCAGCAGUAGGGAAUCUUCCGCAAUGGGCGAAAGCCUGACGGAGCAACGCCGCGUGAGUGAUGAAGGUCUUCGGAUCGUAAAACUCUGUUAUUAGGGAAGAACAUAUGUGUCAGUAACUGUGCACAUCUUGACGGUAACUAAUCAGAAAGCCACGGCUAACUACGUG
Molecule: ribosomal RNA, 497 nt
Filed under: uncultured bacterium
Lineage: Bacteria
Description: partial 16S ribosomal RNA
Rfam family: Bacterial small subunit ribosomal RNA
Source: RNAcentral